GUGACAGCUUUAACAACACCUGUCACUCUUGUCAAAAGGAACAUAACGUGAGAUGCAGUUGACUUACCAAUUAGCCUCAUCAGUGACGCAAUAACGAGCUGAUUUGCAUUGUCGUUUCUAUAAUGUAGCAGUGACAGAGGAAAAUCAUAACACAAUCAUUUAGCCUGCAGGAGAGCACUACAUAUACAAUUAACGAGUUCAACGAUGUCUCUAAUAGUCACGUUGCUUGUGGUGACAUUGGUCGCUCAGUGUUUGGGAGAACCACAGAGGAGGAACUGGUCUCCUCAGGCCAUCUUAUACCUAAAAGGAGCACAAGGACAUCGCUCAGUGUUGAAGCGCAGCAGCAGAGGGG
This is a long non-coding RNA of Anoplopoma fimbria (sablefish), 352 nucleotides long. RefSeq lists it as uncharacterized. The record is from RefSeq and is a predicted model, not a curated record. The transcript is spliced from 4 exons. Lineage: Eukaryota; Metazoa; Chordata; Actinopteri; Perciformes; Anoplopomatidae.